GACGAGCGCUGGCGGCGUGCCUAAUACAUGCAAGUAGAACGCACAGUUUAUACCGUAGCUUGCUACACCAUAGACUGUGAGUUGCGAACGGGUGAGUAACGCGUAGGUAACCUGCCUGGUAGCGGGGGAUAACUAUUGGAAACGAUAGCUAAUACCGCAUAAUAUUAAUUAUUGCAUGAUAAUUAAUUGAAAGGUGCAAUUGCACCACUACCAGAUGGACCUGCGUUGUAUUAGCUAGUAGGUGAGGUAACGGCUCACCUAGGCGACGAUACAUAGCCGACCUGGGAGGGUGAUCGGCCACACUGGGACUGAGACACGGCCCAGACUCCUACGGGAGGCAGCAGUAGGGAAUCUUCGGCAAUGGACGAAAGUCUGACCGAGCAACGCCGCGUGAGUGAAGAAGGUUUUCGGAUCGUAAAGCUCUGUUGUAAGAGAAGAACGGGUGUGAGAGUGGAAAGUUCACACUGUGACGGUAUCUUACCAGAAAGGGACGGCUAACUACGUG
RNAcentral lists this ribosomal RNA (505 nucleotides) under uncultured bacterium. RNAcentral's name for it is "partial 16S ribosomal RNA". It matches the Rfam family "Bacterial small subunit ribosomal RNA", at positions 28 to 507 of the family's 1533-position model. The record is from RNAcentral.